AUACGGAGGAUGCAAGCGUUAUCCGGAUUUAUUGGGCUUAAAGGGUGCGUAGGCGGUUUGCUAAGCGGGAGGUGAAAUGCCGGCGCUCAACGUCGGAAGUGCCUCCCGAACUGGUGGACUGGAAUGACUCUGCCGUGGGAGGAAUGUGUAGUGUAGCGGUGAAAUGCUUAGAGAUUACACAGAACACCGAUUGCGAAGGCAUCUCACGAAGGGUUGAUUGACGCUGAGGCACGAAAGCGUGGGGAUCAAACAGGAUUAGAUACCCUGGUAGUCCACGCAGUAAACGAUGAUGGCUAACCGCUGGUUUAUUCGGAUCAGUGGCCAAGCGAAAGCGAUAAGCCAUCCACCUGGGGAGUACGACCGCAAGGUUGAAACUCAAAUGAAUUGACGGGG
This 393-nucleotide ribosomal RNA is filed under the name uncultured bacterium. Its description in RNAcentral is "partial 16S ribosomal RNA". It matches the Rfam family "Bacterial small subunit ribosomal RNA", at positions 523 to 918 of the family's 1533-position model. The record is from RNAcentral.